CAGUCGCCGCGGGAAUACGUAGGGUGCGAGCGUUAAUCGGAAUUACUGGGCGUAAAGCGUGCGCAGGCGGUUAUAUAAGACAGUUGUGAAAUCCCCGGGCUCAACCUGGGAACUGCAUUUGUGACUGGCAAGCUAGAGUGUGCCAGAGGGGGGUGGAAUUCCGCGUGUAGCAGUGAAAUGCGUAGAUAUGCGGAGGAACGCCGAUGGCGAAGGCAGCCCCCUGGGCCAACACUGACGCUCAUGCACGAAAGCGUGGGGAGCAAACAGGAUUAGAUACCCCAGUAGUCCCUGUCUCUUAUAC
Molecule: ribosomal RNA, 301 nt
Filed under: uncultured bacterium
Lineage: Bacteria
Description: partial 16S ribosomal RNA
Rfam family: Bacterial small subunit ribosomal RNA
Source: RNAcentral